CUCAGUUCGGAUUGGAGUCUGCAACCCGACUCCAUGAAGCUGGAUUCGCUAGUAAUCGCGCAUCAGCCACGGCGCGGUGAAUACGUUCCCGGGCCUUGUACACACCGCCCGUCAAGCCAUGGAAGCCGGGGGUGCCUGAAGUGCGCUGCCGCAAGGAGCGUCCUAGGGUAAAACCGGUGACUGGGGCUAAGUCGUAACAAGGUAUC
Molecule: ribosomal RNA, 206 nt
Filed under: uncultured bacterium
Lineage: Bacteria
Description: partial 16S ribosomal RNA
Rfam family: Bacterial small subunit ribosomal RNA
Source: RNAcentral